This is a long non-coding RNA of Megalobrama amblycephala (Wuchang bream), 2341 nucleotides long. RefSeq lists it as uncharacterized. NCBI's taxonomy places the organism in Eukaryota, Metazoa, Chordata, Actinopteri, Cypriniformes, Xenocyprididae. The transcript has 2 exons. The record is from RefSeq and is a predicted model, not a curated record.
CUGCGUCCGAAACCGCCUACUUCUCUACUAUUUAGUAGGGGAAAAGCAGUAGGCGAGCGAAUAAGUAUGUCAGAAGCAAAAAGAGUAGGCGAAAAUUACCUGGGUGACGUACUAAUUCUCGCGAGAUUCGGCCGUGCGCCUACUUAAAGUGCGUCCGAAACCACCUACUUACCUAAUAUAUAAUAGGGGAAAAGCAGUAGGUGAGCGAAUAAUUAUGCCAGAAAAGUAAUCAUAAAUAAGUAGUCGAGAAGUUCCCGGAUGGCCUACUGCUUCCGCCCAGAUUCUGAAGUAUUCCUCGCUGGAUACUUUUCUAUCCCACGAGGCCACGGGAGAGGAUACGUCAUAUCAAACACGGAGGAGAAAAGCGACGCGGAUGCUGUCAAAUGUGAGUAUUGAAAACCAAAAACACGGUUCUUGUGUUAAAGUCACAUUUGUUGAACUACUGUAGAGUAAACUGCUGAAUGCGUAAAGAUGCUAGACAGUAUAGUUGUGAUUUUACUGUAAAAACAUGUUUUAUUUUGUAUAGAUAACAGGGAGCUCUAGUAAACACAUAACUUAAUUCUCCGAAGAGGAUACAUCUUAAAGAUGCUUACUAAAUGUUUAUUUAACAUCUGACAGGAAAAUAUUAAGAAUAUAUAAAGUAUUAUGACUUAUGAGUGAUGGAUUAUGUUCUAUGAGUGAUAUGUGUGUGAUAUUAUGUAAAAUUCACUGUUGUCAACACUGUUUACAUUACAUGAAUGCAAGUAAUGUAAAUAAACAAAUGUACACUUAACUAGACAGACAUAAGUUAUCUAUUUUAUUUGUCCGUUAGUACUUUUAAUUAAACAAGGAACAUUUGUGUUGGAUAAAAAGUGAGUUAAAACAAAUCUUCAACUACAUCAACAUGUAAAUGUAGAUUUGAGCACAUAAAUCUCAGAGGAAACUUGAAUCUUGUCUGAUGUUACAGGGACAGAAAUGAAUAGUUGUAGUUUAUUUUAUUUUAUUGUAAUUUCAAACAGAGUUAUUACAGUACUUUUCUGAUUCUUGAUGUCUGUGCAUUUGUUGCAGAGCUUUGUGUUGGAGCAGGACCUGUGAGGAAAGAUGACUGUGGCAUUUGUGAAAAAAAAAAGGAAAACCUGAAACAAAAAUAUAAAGUAAGAUUAUUUUGUUACUUCUAAUACAGAAAUCAGAUGACAUUGUGCUGUUAAAAUGACUGCUUUUGUAUUAUGAUUGUGCAUUAUUGUAGGAUGUGAAUGUCCUCAGACUGGUGUGAGCAGUAAGGAUGGAGAACCACAGCAGAUCCUGGGAAUGGUUCAGUGUCAUGGAUGAGACCCUCCAUCACUCCUCCUGCCCUUGCUGCCUCAUCUGGACUGAUGUUGAUGUGAUUUCUUCAUCCUCAGUGAGUCCAGAGCCAGCGAGAGCAUCUAGACAAAGACCAAAGGACAGUGAGGAUGUGAUUUUGGUCAAGAUUGUUCUGCUGGUUUCAGUUCAUACACUGGAGCUUCAAAAGCAUCAUCAAAUAAUGUCAUGAAGCUUCUGGAAGUCAGGCUCCAUUGACUGAUAUUGUAGAAACUAGCUGGACAAACUUGAUCAAAAUCAACUUUUGUGUUCAGAAAACAAAACAAAAAAAUGAACACAGGGAUUGAACAGCAUGAAGGCGAGUGAAUAAUGACUGAAUUUAUUUGUUUGGGUGAAUUAACCCUUUAUGCCCCCAAAUAGAAAUAUGUAUGAAAUGUAUGUAUGAAUUUAUAUUAUAGUAGUACCUUGAAAAAGUAAACUUUAAGAAAUAAACAGCUUGAAUUAGCGUUUGUGCUCGAAACACUAACAAAAAAGGAUUUAAAAAAAAUCGAAUUUACAUUUGGCAGAUGCUGUUAUCCAAAGUUACUAACUGUGCUCUUAUUACAGGGAUGAUCCCGUUGGAGCAACCUGUAGUAACCUGGAGUAAAGUGUCUGGAUCAAGCACACACUGGUGGAGACGCUGCAGAGAUCGAACCAGUAAACCUUCUGCUGACCAGCUCAGUGGUUUAACCCACCACACCACAAAAUCAUGCUGAUGGAGAGCACAUGGAUGUUUGGAUCAGACACAGCAGAGCCAUAUUGUCCUGCACAUCUUCUCCCACUCCUGCUUUAAGGUUGUGGGGUUCAGGGGUCCAUCAUCAUCAUCUUCCUCAUCCUCUGGAUCAACGAUGUCUCCAUUGAGAAGAGCAGCAGUGAGGGACAUGAUGGAUGAAGGUGUUCAUCAGCUGCUUCAUCAGAAUAAAGCUGCAGAAUUGGCACAGCUGUGUGAGAUGACAGCAGGACUGUAAAUACCUGAUUGUUAGAUCAAUACAUUUGAAUAAAGCUUUGUUUCGUGUGUUGUUGA